CUUUUAAUAGUAUAAUCAUACAUUAUUUUUUCAUAAUAAAGAUAUUUAAUUUUUUUUAAAUUUAAAAGC
This 69-nucleotide transfer RNA is filed under the name Arion flagellus. RNAcentral's name for it is "tRNA-Glu". Lineage: Eukaryota; Metazoa; Mollusca; Gastropoda; Stylommatophora; Arionidae. The record is from RNAcentral.